RNAcentral lists this non-coding RNA (709 nucleotides) under Pongo abelii (Sumatran orangutan). Lineage: Eukaryota; Metazoa; Chordata; Mammalia; Primates; Hominidae. The record is from RNAcentral.
UGGGAACUCACCCAGCGCAUCCGACUGCACGGACAAUGCUGAGGAGACCCCCCUGACCCAAAGGAAAUAGACUGCAGCACUGAUUGGAUGACUCUGGAAUGAAAAAAAGUAGUUUUCCUUUAUAAUGCGGCUUGGCCCCCAGGGCGAUGGUGCCACAAGCCAGAUCACUGGGACUCAGAGAAAGGGAACACAGAAGCCUGGCAUGCCAGCAAAAGGCAGGGUCUUUGUGACCAGUAUCUUGCGCCAAACUCCUGUCUCAUCCUGUGACUUAGAAUGCCUAACUUCCUGGGAAUGCAGCACAGGUCUCAGCCUCAUUUUCCCCAGCCCCUAUUCAAGAUGGAUUUGCUCUGGUUCAAAUGCUUCUGACAACAUUCCUCAUGGUGAAUGCUGGAUUUUGCAUGCCCGAGGCCCUGGGCCACACUGUAUGUUUGGUUUUUGCACGGGCUGUAUGGCUAUGACUAGUCAUGUGGACCCUGCAUUCCUAUGUAAAUGACCCUCCAUAAAAACCCCAGAAAUGAAUGCUUGAGUGAACUUCCCUGGCUUGUAUUAUAAUACCGUGAACAUCUUGUCACACAUCUUUGCUGGGGGAAUUAAGUGUGUCCCUAUGUGACUGUAAUGGGAGAUAACACCCAGAGUUUUGUGCCUGCUUUCAUGUGGACUUCAUUCUAUGUGAUUUUUCCCUUUGGUCAUCUUGGUCUAUAUCCUUUUA